GGGGAUUUAGCUCAGUGGUAGAGCACUUGCCUAGCAAGCACAAGGCCCUGGGUUCAGUCCCCAGCUCCU
Molecule: transfer RNA, 69 nt
Filed under: Rattus norvegicus (Norway rat)
Lineage: Eukaryota; Metazoa; Chordata; Mammalia; Rodentia; Muridae
Rfam family: tRNA
About the family: Transfer RNA (tRNA) molecules are approximately 80 nucleotides in length. Their secondary structure includes four short double-helical elements and three loops (D, anti-codon, and T loops).
Source: Rfam by way of RNAcentral